CACUAGGUGACUGAAAAAAGUAUAGGUCUUUUAAACCUAUUAUAGUAAUUUACUUACUUCUAGUGA
RNAcentral lists this transfer RNA (66 nucleotides) under Tetralia glaberrima. Its description in RNAcentral is "tRNA-Lys". The record is from RNAcentral. Lineage: Eukaryota; Metazoa; Arthropoda; Malacostraca; Decapoda; Tetraliidae. RNAcentral also lists the same sequence under 1 other name.